GAUGAACGCUGGCGGCGUGCCUAAUACAUGCAAGUCGAACGCUAAAGGAGGAGCUUGCUCUUCUGGAUGAGUGGCGAACGGGUGAGUAACGCGUAGGUAACCUGCCUUGUAGCGGGGGAUAACUAUUGGAAACGAUAGCUAAUACCGCAUGACAACAGUUGUUGCAUGAUGACUGUUGGAAAGGGGCAGCUGCUGCACUACGAGAUGGGCCUGCGUUGUAUUAGCUAGUUGGUGAGGUAACGGCUCACCAAGGCGAGGAUACAUAGCCGACCGGAGAGGGGGAUCAGCCACCCUGGGACUGAGACACGGCACAGAGUGCUACGGGAAGGAGCAGUAGUGCAUCGUCGGCAAUGGAUGGAAGACUGAGCGAGCAACGCCGAGGGAGGGAAGAACGUUGUCGGGUCGUAGAGGACGGUUGUCGGGGAAGAACGAGUGUGCGAGUGGAAAGAUCACAGUGUGACGGUAACUGACAAGAAAGCAACGGCUAACUACGUG
Molecule: ribosomal RNA, 495 nt
Filed under: uncultured bacterium
Lineage: Bacteria
Description: partial 16S ribosomal RNA
Rfam family: Bacterial small subunit ribosomal RNA
Source: RNAcentral